CCCCUCCCCAGUUCUGCUGGCUGCCUUCCCCCAGGACCCCUGUGAGAUAAAGCCAGGGAUGACUUGCCUGGGCCUGAGCUGGGGACUGGAAGUGCCUACAGGGAUCUUUCCACUGUUUCUCCUAGUUUUAUAUUUCACUCAGCUCCCUAAAUCUGUUUCAGCUCUGGGUAAGGUUAAAUCCUUCUCCCAUGUUCUGGAAUUUCAGGUUCCCAGUGGUGAUACGUGUUUGGAGGCAGACUUUCCCCCUUCUCGGACUUGGAGAACUCAGUUUUUCAGCUGUCUCAUGGAGUUUGCAGCAGCAAGCCACUUCUUUCAAAGGGUCUGUGAAUCCUUUCAGUUUACUUGGUCUUGCUGAUGCAAGAGGUGAGCCCUCAUGGCCUUGGGCAGCUCUACCCCUGUGGCUCUAUCCCAGCUGCUUUCAUGGGCUCAUGUUGAGUGUCUGCAACUUUUCAAGGUGCCUGGUAAAAGCUGUCUGUGGAUCUACCAUUCUGGAAUCUGGAGGAUGGUAGCCCUCUUCUCACAGCUCCACUAGGCAGUGCCCCAGUGGGAACUCUGUGGGGGGCUGCAACCCCACAUUUUCGUUCUGCACUGCCCUAGUAGAUGUUCUCCAUGAGGGCUCCACCCCCGUAACACACCUCUGCCUGGAUAUCCAAGUAUUUCCUUUCAUCCUCUGAAAUCUAGGUGGAGGUUCCCAAACCUGAAUUCUUGUAUUCUGUACAUCUGCAGGACCAACACCAUGUGGAAGCUGCCAAGACUGGGCGCUCUGGGUCCUGCCAAGAAAACCUUUUUUUUUUUUUUUUUUUUUUUUUUAUUCUAGGCUUAGGACCUGUAAUGGGAAGGGCUGCAGUGAAGGUCUCUGACAUGUCCUGGAGAUAUUUUCCCCAUUGCCUUGGUGAUUAGCAUUUGGCUCCCCAUUACUCAGGCAAAUUUUUGCUGUGGGCUUGAAUUUCUCCCCAGAAAUGGGUUUUUCUUUUCUAUUGCAUCAUUAGGCUACAAAUUUUUCAAACUUUUAUGCCCCGCUUUGUCUUGCACACUUUACCACUUAGAAAUUUCUUCUGCCAGAUAACCUA
This 1070-nucleotide long non-coding RNA is filed under the name Papio anubis (olive baboon). RNAcentral describes it as "lncRNA (ENSPANG00000046951.1)". The record is from RNAcentral. Lineage: Eukaryota; Metazoa; Chordata; Mammalia; Primates; Cercopithecidae.